UGCGGAGGGAUCAUUACAGAGUUAUCCAACUCCCAAACCCAUGUGAACUUAUCUCUUUGUUGCCUCGGCGCAAGCUACCCGGGACCUCGCGCCCCGGGGCGGCCCGCCGGCGGACAAACCAAAACUCUUGUUAUCUUAGUUGAUUAUCUGAGUGUCUUAUUUAAUAAGUCAAAACUUUCAACAACGGAUCUCUUGGUUCUGGCAUCGAUGAAGAACGCAGCGAAAUGCGAUAAGUAAUGUGAAUUGCAGAAUUCAGUGAAUCAUCGAAUCUUUGAACGCACAUUGCGCCCAUUAGUAUUCUAGUGGGCAUGCCUGUUCGAGCGUCAUUUCAACCCCUAAGCACAGCUUAUUGUUGGGAACCUACGGCUUCGUAGUUCCUCAAAGACAUUGGCGGAGUGGCAGUGGUCCUCUGAGCGUAGUAAUCUUUUAUCUCGCUUCUGUUAGGUGCUGCCCCCCCGGCCGUAAAACCCCCAAUUUUUUCUGGUUGACCUCGGAUCAGGUAGGAAUACCCGCUGAACUUAAGCAUAUCAAU
Molecule: ribosomal RNA, 532 nt
Filed under: Nigrospora sphaerica
Lineage: Eukaryota; Fungi; Ascomycota; Sordariomycetes; Amphisphaeriales; Apiosporaceae
Description: eukaryotic LSU rRNA
Rfam family: 5.8S ribosomal RNA (bases 173-326)
Source: RNAcentral